Molecule: long non-coding RNA, 2030 nt
Filed under: Salmo salar (Atlantic salmon)
Lineage: Eukaryota; Metazoa; Chordata; Actinopteri; Salmoniformes; Salmonidae
Description: lncRNA (ENSSSAG00000121099.1, ENSSSAG00020075645.1)
Source: RNAcentral
CGUAAAUGUGCGCCUUUUUUCAAUGCUGAUUUGAAGGUCAUUGAGAAAACUAGAGAAAUGUCGAAGUUUUUUCCCCGCAAACAUCCUUUCUGAAUUUAAAAGUAAUCCUCGAUGUAAUCAUCUAGUUUUUUAAAAGUAUCUGUAAUCUGAUUACAAUAUUUUAGCUGGUAACGGAUUACAGUUGCCGUUUUUUGUAAUCUCAGUGCAAGAGGUGUCACGACAGACCCUGGUUCAAUUCCAGGCUGUUUCACAACCGGCCGUGAUUGGGAGUCCCAUAGGGCAGCGCACAAUUGGCCCAACGUCGUCCGGGUUUGGCUGGGGCAAUCACAAGGAAAGGAUGGCCAGCCACACAGGAGGGUGAUUUUCACUACAGAGGAGGAGGCCGUGCUGACGGAGAUCAAUGCUGGCCAUUUCGGAGUGAAGCGCAUCAUUGGCAAAAUAAACCUUCUUCUGGAGUGGGAUUGUCAAGGAUGUGGACAGCUGGGCAAGUGAAAUAACCUUUUGUUUAUCAAUCACAUUCUAUUAUAUCUGAAAAUGACUAUCAUAUCAGAGAACACACAAUGUUUCAAUGUGCCACGUUGUGCCUAAAGGUCAGUACCCUGUCUAGUCUGCCAGAAGUUUGAGAGGGUGAUGACUGUGGCGCCAGAGUUAAAGCCCAUCACUUGUUUCACCGUGGCACAUGAUUGGUCAGCCCAUCAGUUAUUUCACCGUGGCACAUGAUCGGUCAGCCCAUCAGUUAUUUCACCGUGGCACAUGAUCGGUCAGCCCAUCAGUUGUUUCACCGUGGCAUAUGAUCAGUGCAGUGAUCUGUGAGCUGCUUGUAUGAUAUCCAUCAAGGACGAGACUGGCGAGGACACCUCCAAGGCGAUGAUGGACAUCUUCAAAACCCACGGUUCUCCUGAGGUCAUCUUGAGUCACCGAGGUCGUGAACUCUGGAACAAGGUUUGGAUGAACUGACCAACCAGACCCUCAAGACUACCAUGGGCAAGUCCCUUGACGAGUACCAGGAACGGUGGGAGAACAACCUGAAGGUAAUUCUCUUUGAACACAACAGCAGCAUCCAGGAUUCCACCGAGUACUCGCCCUAUCGCCUGCUGUACGGACGUGAGCCGUAGCUGUUAGUGAGAUCACUGAAAUUCCACCUGAUGUGAUGGAGGUUGUUGAACCAGAUCAGAAUUCCUUCCAGGACCACGUUCAGGCACGGCUGAGAAGAAUGUGGAGGUUUUUGACCAGGUGAGACUGAACAUGGACAAGGCACAGGAGAAACAAAAGGAGAGCUACUGGAGGAGAAUCAAAAAGGGAACCAAGUGCUCGACAUCGAAUGACUUGGCUUGCAAGAAGGUCGAAAGGAAGACGAGACCUGGGAAACCUCUGCUCUUUCGCUCCUAGCUAGGGUGACCAUCCGUUAAGCUGAAUAUAAAAAUCUCAGAUAAUAACUAUUUACAUUUGCACACAAAAUAACCUGAAGCUAGUUUUAGUUUUCACUUUGUCUUCCAAGGGUUACCUCGGUGGAAGCCAACAAUCUUCUACAGUUGGAACAGUUGGACGGUCAACCACUGAAAGCUCUGUCGCCCUACGCUUCGGUGAAGCCCAAUAGACAAAGACCAUCGACUGUCCGAGCCACCCAGGAUGGGUCCACCAGAGCCAGUGAUUUUGGAACAGUCUGACUUUCUGUGCUCUGAGUCUGAGGGGGACCAGCUUAACUUCAAAAAACAGUUGAAAAGACCUAGGAGUUCUGCCGAACACCCAGACGUGGAUCUACCUAAUGUCCUCCAUUACCAACCACCCUCCAACAAUUACAUAAUCUACAGCUACUGUUACUGUUAUGUUGUCAUUAUCUGUGAAUAAAGUUUUCUUGCUCUAUCAUACUGGGUACAUAAAAUGUGAGAUACACAGGUGAACUAAAAACACUUGCACUGCAAACACUCAGAACAAAGAGAGCAUCAGUGCGUGAACUUUGCAGUCUCCCUCUUCAAGUCCCUCUUCCGGCUGCCUGUUGAAUGGCAGAACCUCCCACCCACACAGCACCC